AUCAGCGCCCCGGGCUGGAGAGUCCCGGGGAGCUCCUGCUCCCGCAGCUCUGCGGCCCAGCCGCCCGCCCACGCAGUGGAGGCUCUGUUGCCCGGCGCAGCAGGUUCACGGGCUCUUGUUCCACUCGCUCCAGCUGAGAGCGUUUCUUCCUUGAGUGCACCUGCCCCGGGCUGUUUUGUGUAGUCAAGUGCCUGUGGCUCUGUGUGUGUUUACCUAUCAACUACCUGUAAAUACCAGCCCAACUCGUUAUACAGUUUCUAGUAACUUCAUUAUGAGUUAAAGGUUACUGUCCUGUAACUUUCAGAAGAGAACUGAAAGAAGUCUCAGGAGCACUGGCCACUGAAGGCCCGACUGCGAAGCAUUGUCCACCAGGUUCCAGAUGCUAUCAUGAUGCUAAAUGGACUUCCCUGGGCAGACGACCCCACCAAUAUGUCCUGGAACUCCGCUUCCCCAGAGCCCUGCCCCACUAGGGAAAGAGAGAGACAGGCUGGGAGUAUGGACAGACCUGCCAACACCCAUGUUCAGUGGGGAAGCAAUUACAGAAGCCAGACCUUCUACCAUCUGCACCCCACAAUGAUCCUGGGUCCAUACUCCCAGAGGGAUAAAGAAUAGGGAAGCUAUCAACGGAGUGGAUUGGAUAUGGAGCUCUGGGGGUGGGCAAUGUACCCCUCUUAUCCUACAGUCUUGUCAAUACUUCCAUUUUAUAAAUAAAAAUUUUUUAAAGAAUAUUUAUAAUACA
Long non-coding RNA from Erinaceus europaeus (western European hedgehog), 739 nucleotides. RefSeq lists it as uncharacterized. The transcript has 2 exons. The record is from RefSeq and is a predicted model, not a curated record. Lineage: Eukaryota; Metazoa; Chordata; Mammalia; Eulipotyphla; Erinaceidae.